GAUGAACGCUGGCGGCGUGCCUAAUACAUGCAAGUCGAGCGAACAGAUAAGGAGCUUGCUCCUUUGACGUUAGCGGCGGACGGGUGAGUAACACGUGGGUAACCUACCUAUAAGACUGGAAUAACUCCGGGAAACCGGGGCUAAUGCCGGAUAACAUUUAGAACCGCAUGGUUCUAAAGUGAAAGAUGGUUUUGCUAUCACUUAUAGAUGGACCCGCGCCGUAUUAGCUAGUUGGUAAGGUAACGGCUUACCAAGGCAACGAUACGUAGCCGACCUGAGAGGGUGAUCGGCCACACUGGAACUGAGACACGGUCCAGACUCCUACGGGAGGCAGCAGUAGGGAAUCUUCCGCAAUGGGCGAAAGCCUGACGGAGCAACGCCGCGUGAGUGAUGAAGGUCUUCGGAUCGUAAAACUCUGUUAUUAGGGAAGAACAAAUGUGUAAGUAACUGCACACGUCUUGACGGUACCUAAUCAGAAAGCCACGGCUAACUACGUG
This 497-nucleotide ribosomal RNA is filed under the name uncultured bacterium. Its description in RNAcentral is "partial 16S ribosomal RNA". It matches the Rfam family "Bacterial small subunit ribosomal RNA", at positions 28 to 507 of the family's 1533-position model. The record is from RNAcentral.